GACGAACGCUGGCGGCGUGCCUAAUACAUGCAAGUCGAACGAGAGCGACCGGUGCUUGCACUGGUCAAUCUAGUGGCGAACGGGUGAGUAACACGUGGGUAACCUGCUCAUCAGAGGGGGAUAACAUCCGGAAACGGAUGCUAAAACCGCAUAGGUCUUCGAGCCGCAUGGCUUGAAGAGGAAAAGAGGCGCAAGCUUCUGCUGAUGGAUGGACCCGCGGUGCAUUAGCUAGUUGGUGAGGUAACGGCUCACCAAGGCCGUGAUGCAUAGCCGACCUGAGAGGGUGAUCGGCCACAUUGGGACUGAGACACGGCCCAAACUCCUACGGGAGGCAGCAGUAGGGAAUCUUCCGCAAUGGACGCAAGUCUGACGGAGCAACGCCGCGUGAGUGAAGAAGGUUUUCGGAUCGUAAAACUCUGUUGUUAGAGAAGAACAAGUGCUAGAGUAACUGUUAGCGCCUUGACGGUAUCUAACCAGAGAGCCACGGCUAACUACGUG
RNAcentral lists this ribosomal RNA (498 nucleotides) under uncultured bacterium. RNAcentral's name for it is "partial 16S ribosomal RNA". It matches the Rfam family "Bacterial small subunit ribosomal RNA", at positions 28 to 507 of the family's 1533-position model. The record is from RNAcentral.